CCAAGGUCAUGUUUGCCAGCAAUAGCCCUGGAUCAGGGCUGCACCAGCAGAGCUGCUUUUGCACCUUCAGGCCCCAACAAAUGGUUCCCACUGCAAGAGCCAACAACGUAAUCACAAAUGCAACAUGAUCACAGGGUGGUUCAGAAUGCUGCCUCCUGAUCUGAGCGCCAAACACGGGAGUGCACAAGAUACUGGCAUGCAGGGAACUGGGCCACCUGGGCAGAUAAUUCCUGGCAAGAUCAUGUGGUAACCUUCCUUCUUGAGGGCAAUGCCCGAGAAUGCACAUUGGACACUGGUGGCACUGCAUUUAUAUAUUCUUUUUAGGGAGGCACUUUCUCUGAGUCCUAGAGUGUAGCCAAACCCAGCCACGCUUGCCAAACACACAAAAUUUCUAUUUAAUUAAUCCCAUGCAUGUCUUCAGCAGACUCCCUGUUGAGCUGGCUUAAAGCACCCCAUCCACGCCUUAUCACAAACUCUGACCGUGUUUUUAUGACUAGUUCAAGCAUAAUUCGAGCAUGAUGCCAAAUAGCAAAUAAGUCGCUGUUCGUGCAGAAUGUCUGGCUGACCUCUGCAAGACUCUUCACAUGAGAAAAAGUUUGCAGGAUUAGGACCAAAGCCUGGAAGCAGGGUCAUCUCUUCCCUCUGCCCACACCCCCUCUCCCUUGGCUCCAGUAUCCAGUACAUGCUGUCCUCUUCAUUACUUCAACACAGUCCUUACGGCCUUAGACCUCAAUGAAGAAAAUGAGCAAGCUCUGUGAUUCAGGGUAUUUAAAAGUGGAAAAAAAAAGGGCAACUGUUAGGCAGAAUCUGCUAGGAGGAGGAGGAGGACUUGGCAGAAUGCCAAGAGACAAGAGUCCACAGUCCUCAAAUUUCAAAGGUUUUCAGAAUAGAUGACCUCAAGAUUCUUUCACAAGCUAGUCUGAACAAGUCACAGUUUGGUAGUCUGCUGGUUUUUUUUCUCCUCUUCUUUUUUCCACCUGGAUAACUUUGGAUUUUUUCACUUGGUGAAAGACAAAAUAACUUUAAUAACUUCAAAUAACUUUACUCCCCCGUGGCACUUACAUGUCAAUUAGCUCUGGAUUGCUGCUAUAUACAGGGACAGUGUACAUGCUUGGGAAAGUGUCCCUGGGAAUUGUGACACCAUAAAACGCCUCGGUGCUUCAACCCUACCCCAUCAUUCUGGUACACCAGGCAGUGAACACAGAGUGCUUUCUUCUGCCAUGCCCCUCUCUGUCCCCCACUCCAUCCACGGAAUUAGGACAUUGCUGGAACUCAGCACAAUGCUAUUUGCAGCCAUGCAUGUUUGAAAUAAAACAUGAAGUCCAGGAUUGUACCUCAGGCUGCCUGAGAUUCAGCCCCCUUCUGCUGCCCAAAACCACAAAGACAGUAUUUGCAUGUUUAGAUAACAACUAUAGCAAAAUGAAGACUAAAACUGUAAUCCCUUUUAAAUGCAGACAGGGCAGGGAGCGACUGCCAAGACGCACUAACCAGAUGGAGCCUUAUGAACAUUUGACUUGUUUUACUCCCAGGUUUCCCCCCUGAGUCCCAGAUGCAUGGAAGUCAUGUGGGGACACAGUUGGGCUUGUUAUCAAAGAACUCCUGGACCCCCAUGAGUCAAAUGACAAUCAGCUCUGCUCUUCUGGUGAGGUAUUUUUAACUUCAGGAAGUACCCAAAGAAAAGCUGGGGGAUUAGUCCCAUGAGCCAAGUUUUCAGGGAAGCCACUGAGAAAAAGAAGAAAAAUGUCUGAGAAAUGUCAUGGUGUCACGCCAUUGUCCUGUCAGAUGGAUUUUUGGACAUUGCCACACAUGCUGCAGCAAGGCUCCACCCCACAGCCCAAGCACUGCAAUACAGGCACCUAACGGGUUAAAUCACAUCACUCCUCUAGAUUUGCAGUGGUUGAUAGAAAUGGUCUUCUUCAGGAACAGGAAAAAUCCCAAGCAUCCUACAGGACAUGAUCCACGCUUCUCCAUGACUAUCCCAACACAUAAGGGUAAAAUGAAAAGCCUGAACAGACGUCAGCAGCUCCCAGAGGCCUGACAAGCACUGGAAAGGAGAGCUUUCCAGCACCAAGAAAAGGCUGGGAGUAUCACCUUCCCCUGGGUACAUAGCAACAGUUGCUAGUUUUGGCAGGCAGCAAGAUGCAGUGCAAGACGUGAGGGUGACAUCAUUUGAUUAUCACCUCGCUUCCCUCAGAUUCAAUUGGAUUCCAAUAAGAAAUUAUUUUUAGAAUCACUACAGACAAAAGCCUUGAAAACUAAUUUAUUACAGAUUUGGGUAGAGGAGGCUGGGGACUAUAUUAAUAGCAGACAAAGCCUUAAAAAGGCCCAAGUAUUUUGGAACCCAAAACCACAGCAGGAAUAUCAUGCACAUAUUAACAGCAAAGGUAAUUAACCUUCUAAAAAACACACUUGAAGAUGGGGUGGAUUCUCCAUUGCCUUGAGCUUUUGCAUUUAAGGCUGGAUGUUCUUCCAAAAAGUGGGAUGAAGCUGAAACUGAAUUUGGGAUUUGUUGCUGAAAGAUCUGAUGGGAGCUCUGAUACUUUUACUCAUAAGUCCUGCUCUUAAAAAAACCUAGAAGCCUGCUUGUUGCCUGUGCUUGGGAAGUUAAGUCCUAGUUUGCUGAUAUAGGCAUUUGCAGUUUCAAAGAAAGUUAAGAAUUACUAGAAGAUAUAAUGACAUAUGAAGUUAACUCUCCAGAGAAAGCAGUACAGGAAAAAAAUAAUAAAAGCUCUCCAAAAUAUUAAGCCCGAGGUUCAUUGCUUUUGCCCUGGACACAAGAAAUGAAUAACAUCAUUUCUUGUUACUCCAUGACACUGAGAGCUUGGAAGUAAUUGAUCUUGCCUCCAAUUUCAAGUUAGCCAAAGUGCUUGUUUAGGAGAAGAGGCUCACAUGACAGGCUGGAGCUUCUGAAGGAGACCUUUCCCUGAAGUGGUAGCAGCUCUCUGGAAAUAAAUAACUACAGGGAUUCCCAGGCAGUUGUGGAAUUGUCAGCAGCAGUCCACUGCUUUGUGGUGCACAGCACUUCUUCUUUAUGUUUAUGCAACUACAGGUAUUAGUAUUUACAGCAAGCAGCUUCAUUUUACAUCCCUUACUUUGAAUAUUUGAUAACCUAUACGAAUUUUAAUGGACUGUAGUACUGUCUUCUGUUUUUUAGCUUGUCAUUUAGCAUGCUUGUACAGUGACAGACUAACAACUACUGAGUGAUGUGAGGAACCACGCAAUAUGCCACAACAACUUGUUUUGUAAAAUAACAGGGCAGAGCUUUCUCUACUUUUAUGGCAAGGACACAGUCUCUCCUCUGCCCCAAACGACAGUGAGAAAAAGUCUUUUGAACAAGAAGGAAGGAAAACUAAAAAGCAGAACAGAAGCGAAACUGCACUGUCAGGUUUUCACUCUGUUAGAGCCCUUGCAAUCAAACCUAGGAAGGCUACCCAGUGAAGGGCCCUGGGCUAUCACAUCAUCCCCACCACAAAACUUCUGACUGACGUAAGCAAUUGACUUGCCUGCUAAUUUGAUUUCUACAACUCACUGCAUCAGGACGUGACUGAUAAGAGCCGACUAGGAAUUCCCACAGACAGGGACUUUGCAGAGCCUUGCACACCGUGCAGUGCGGCCAACUCCACCCAUUUCUUUCUGCACAUGCCACUGUCGCCCACAAAUCUGAGGCAGACACACACGACUCUAUCAGCAGGACCAUAUGUGUCUGCAGAGAUAGCAAAAGCCAGAGACUGCCAUAAUUUAGCCAAAUAAACAACUUCACAUACAAGAAAUGACAUGUGGCAGAGGAGAUCCAGGAAAGGACACGGUUUAAGCCUCCUAAAUUCAGUGGCUUUUUGCUUCAAGUAAGAGAGCAGAGGCAUCCCAACAGCCACAGAUUUCUCUGCAAUACCGAUUUCUAUUAGGGAGAAGUCAAGAAGGACAAACCAUACCCAAAGCAGAGAAUACAGACUUCUUCAAAACUGAUGCAUUUAAAAUGGGGAUUUUUUGUGUGUAUGAAAGGCCUUGGAUAAAUAUUUGGGUAAGAAUGGGGAAAUGGAUAGGAAAAUCCGACCAGGAGUAACAGGAGUAAUGUGGAAAUAUUUGGUGGGGUAAAGUGGGCAAUAAAUUAUGAACCAUCUGGCCCACAGAGAUUUAUGAGACUGGCUGCCAGCGAGGCCAAGCAACUCCUUUUUCUGGAGUGUGAGAGGAGAGGAAGCACAAGGGCAAAAACUGAGACUCUUGUCCACUGGAAAAGUAGAUUUUUAAAAACCCUCAGAGAAGGCAGGAGCAACUACAAAGUGGACUGCAAAAGCUCAGGCCUCCUGGAGCUACAUGCCUUAAACUGAAGGCUGUGCAGGUACCUGUUGCCAUAACUGCCUCAAACAAAAGAUGCAGCACUGCUGCUGGAGGGUUGGGAGGUGCCUGACCUUAUCUGCCCAAGUCUCAUUGCACCCUCCUUCUCAAGGGCCUGCAAGGAUUUACUGCUUCCUCUGGGGUAUGCAGGGGUCAUAGAAUCACAGAAUCCUUAAGGCUAAAAAGACCUAAGAUCAAGUCCAACCACUAACCUAAACCCAGCAUGUUAAUCUCUAAACCAUGCCCCUAAGUGCCACAUCCACACAUUUUUAAAAUGCUUCCAGGGGUGGUGAUUCUACCACUUUCCUGGGCAGCCUGAUCAAGCCUUCAGUGAACAAAAAAAGUCAGUGUACAACAGAGCAUCAAGCUGCAACAGACACGCUCCCCAGUGUGGCUGCAUCCUUUCUCCCUUGUGCAAAAGUGCCCACUGAGGCUCUGUGACCUCAGCUCUGAGGAGUGGCACUCAGAGACCUCGAGUCCUGUUGGCUGCUGAUGACAGUGACCCCAUGAAACAGCUUUCUCAAAUCAAGAUAUGAUUUACUAGUAACAGAAGGUCCUGGAAAAGACAAGACCACCUGGCCACCAACAACAGCCAGGCCUUGGACCAGGCCAACAGAAGCCCUCUAUCUCCUUUCCACUCUUUCCACUGAGGCGGAGGCAUGACCAGGUAGAAGAGAAGGGAGGAAGCAGUGAUCAACUGGAAAACUACCAUGAACAAAAACCCAAGCACUACCACAAAAACAUGAAAACCCAAAGGGAAAAAAAAAAAAA
Motacilla alba alba is the source of this 5103-nucleotide long non-coding RNA. RefSeq lists it as uncharacterized. The transcript has 2 exons. The record is from RefSeq and is a predicted model, not a curated record. NCBI's taxonomy places the organism in Eukaryota, Metazoa, Chordata, Aves, Passeriformes, Motacillidae.